Non-coding RNA from Colinus virginianus (northern bobwhite), 62 nucleotides. Lineage: Eukaryota; Metazoa; Chordata; Aves; Galliformes; Odontophoridae. The record is from Rfam.
GUCUUUGGUUAUCUAGCUGUAUGAGUGUUGUGGAGCCAUCAUAAAGCUAGAUAACCGAAAGU